Molecule: ribosomal RNA, 404 nt
Filed under: uncultured bacterium
Lineage: Bacteria
Description: bacterial SSU rRNA
Rfam family: Bacterial small subunit ribosomal RNA
Source: RNAcentral
UGGGGAAUAUUGGGCAAUGGGCGAAAGCCUGACCCAGCCAUGCCGCGUGAGUGAUGAAGGCCUUAGGGUUGUAAAGCUCUUUCGCAGUCGAAGAUAAUGACGGUAAACUGAGAAGAAGCCCCGGCUAACUUCGUGCCAGCAGCCGCGGUAAUACGAAGGGGGCUAGCGUUGUUCGGAAUCACUGGGCGUAAAGCGCGCGUAGGCGGCCAUUCAAGUCAGAGGUGAAAUCCUGCGGCUUAACCGUAGAAUUGCCUUUGAAACUGUCUGGCUGGAGUCCCGGAGGGGGUGGCGGAAUUCCUAGUGUAGGGGUGAAAUCCGUAGAGACUAGGAGGAACACCAGUGGCGAAGGCGGCCACCUGGACGGGAACUGACGCUGAGGCGCGAAAGCGUGGGUAGCAAACAGG